This 610-nucleotide long non-coding RNA is filed under the name Mytilus galloprovincialis (Mediterranean mussel). Lineage: Eukaryota; Metazoa; Mollusca; Bivalvia; Mytilida; Mytilidae. The record is from RNAcentral.
GAUCCAACAAGAAUAUAAACGAUGUUACAAUAUUGAGUCCGGUGUUGACGGUUUAAGAACCUAUCCAAAACUGAAUAUAAAUUAUUUUUAAGAAGUAUAUAAAACAGAAUAAUUAAGAAAUACAUGUAACAACGGAUUAGGCAAUUAUUGUCCAUUGUUCAGAUAAUCUGCUAAAACUGUCUUUGACACGUAGAUACGAAGUCCAUUAUCGGAUUAGUCGAAACAUACAUUUUAAACCAAAGAUAAUUGUGUGGGAAUAUUUCAGCUAAAAAUGACAAUUGAAAGAUAUAGUAAUUAAAGUCAGAAAGAUGAUAGUCCAAAUAAUUAGCAUGCUUUUCGUCCGGUCAUACAUGCCCCUCUCGUCCAGAAUCACGUCCACGGGAUUUGAAUUUUCAUAACUAAUAUCUUCUUCCACGGUAGUGAUAGUUACGCCUGUUUUGAUGAUAAUUUCCUGAAUUUGUUCGAGUGUUGUUUUUUAAUUGUUCUAGUUCAUGUUCGUAAUUUUUGCAAAUUGCCUUUAAAUCAAGUUCACUUUUUCUAACUACAUUGUACAUUUCUGAAACAUCACUACAAUGUAAUUUCCAAUUUUCUUUUUCUUCUUUUAUCUCAG